UAGGUAAAGUAAUAAUUUAUUUAUUUUACUGAUAUAUUGCAUUUAAACAUUCCCACUGAAUCCCAACCCGUACAAAUACCUGAAACCAUAACAUAUCAGAUUCAGGCUGGUUUUGUGGUAUUUCUACCUAGGUCUGAAGCAGGAGAGGUUACCUCAUGAGGGAGCCUGUUCCCAAGUAAAUUGCAGGUACGUGAGAUAUUCUUGUGAGACUCCUUUCUGUGCCUAACUCAGCUUCAGAAACAUCCACACUUGUCACUGCCCCAACAUUCUCUUGAGAAGAUGAAAACUGCUGCAUCCUUAUAUUGCAGCAGCACAGAGAGGAUGGCCUUGAAAUGUGUGUGAUAAAUAUGCUUUUAGAUAUGGGUAAAAGAUAACCAAAGACAAACCAGGGCUUACCCUGCCCAAAUAUUUAUGGGAAAGAGUAAACUGUUUACAAGGCCAAUGUACAUAUCAGGAGAAAAUGACUUUGCAUUUUUAUCUUGUGAACUAAAGAACAAAAGAAUUCAGCAACUUGCUUUGAGACAAACAGAAUGUGAUUGUUGAUCUGACAGUGCUUGCAACCAGAUCAGUGUUUUGCCAGAGUUCAGGCAUGACUUCAGCUCUUUGUUCCUCAUUCUUUUACUAGAAAGAGUUGAGAAGAGCUAAUGGAAAACUCAUAAAAAACAUUCAUAGAGAAUCCAUUUCAAAAUUACCAAGUAAUGCAUAACAGUGAUCUUCACUGCACUGUCACAAUUUGCUAAAAUUUUAUUGAAAGCUGAUGAUUUAACAAGUGUUCUUCAUUUGGAAAGGAACAAAUAUAAGGACUUCUUUCAUGGAGCAGAAAGAUGGGAGCAAUUUGCAGCUUCCAAAAUCCGAGGUUCUGGCCAACAGAGAAGUACCUAGCAGAAACACGCGCAAAAGGGUUCUAGGACAAUUCUUUUUAGCAGGGGUGUUUAUGUGAGGAGUAAAAGCCACAGGAAAGCACAAACUACAGAUAAAGUGAAGGUAACAGCCUGAAAAAG
Molecule: long non-coding RNA, 1001 nt
Filed under: Strigops habroptila (Kakapo)
Lineage: Eukaryota; Metazoa; Chordata; Aves; Psittaciformes; Psittacidae
Description: lncRNA (ENSSHBG00005018093.1)
Source: RNAcentral